This 386-nucleotide ribosomal RNA is filed under the name bacterium enrichment culture clone ALO1_GLFRUDD03G2EHL. RNAcentral describes it as "bacterial SSU rRNA". It matches the Rfam family "Bacterial small subunit ribosomal RNA", at positions 9 to 395 of the family's 1533-position model. The record is from RNAcentral.
GAGUUUGAUCCUGGCUCAGAUUGAACGCUGGCGGCAUGCCUUACACAUGCAAGUCGAACGGCAGCACGGGAGCUUGCUCCUGGUGGCGAGUGGCGAACGGGUGAGUAAUGCAUCGGAACGUAUCCUGGAUGGGGGAUAACGUAGCGAAAGUUACGCUAAUACCGCAUAUUCUGUGAGCAGGAAAGCGGGGGAUCUUCGGGCCUCGCGCUCUUGGAGCGGCCGAUGUCGGAUUAGCUAGUUAGGUGAGGUAAAGGCUCACCAAGGCGACGAUCCGUAGCAGGUCUGAGAGGAUGAUCUGCCACACUGGAACUGAGACACGGUCCAGACUCCUACGGGAGGCAGCAGUGGGGAAUUUUGGACAAUGGGGGCAACCCUGAUCCAGCCAU